RNAcentral lists this ribosomal RNA (550 nucleotides) under uncultured bacterium. RNAcentral describes it as "bacterial SSU rRNA". It matches the Rfam family "Bacterial small subunit ribosomal RNA", at positions 355 to 896 of the family's 1533-position model. The record is from RNAcentral.
UGGGGAAUCUUCCGCAAUGGACGAAAGUCUGACGGAGCAACGCCGCGUGAGUGAUGACGGCCUUCGGGUUGUAAAGCUCUGUUAAUCGGGACGAAAGGUCCUCUUGCGAAUAGUUAGAGGAAUUGACGGUACCGGAAUAGAAAGCCACGGCUAACUACGUGCCAGCAGCCGCGGUAAUACGUAGGUGGCAAGCGUUGUCCGGAAUUAUUGGGCGUAAAGCGCGCGCAGGCGGAUCAGUUAGUCCGUCUUAAAAGUUCGGGGCUUAACCCCGUGAUGGGAUGGAAACUGCUGAUCUAGAGUAUCGGAGAGGAAAGUGGAAUUCCUAGUGUAGCGGUGAAAUGCGUAGAUAUUAGGAAGAACACCAGUGGCGAAGGCGACUUUCUGGACGAAAACUGACGCUGAGGCGCGAAAGCCAGGGGAGCGAACGGGAUUAGAUACCCCGGUAGUCCUGGCCGUAAACGAUGGGUACUAGGUGUAGGAGGUAUCGACCCCUUCUGUGCCGGAGUUAACGCAAUAAGUACCCCGCCUGGGGAGUACGACCGCAAGGUUG